UAAUGUCUGGGAAACUGCCUGAUGGAGGGGGAUAACUACUGGAAACGGUAGCUAAUACCGCAUAACGUCGCAAGACCAAAGUGGGGGACCUUCGGGCCUCAUGCCAUCAGAUGUGCCCAGAUGGGAUUAGCUAGUAGGUGGAGUAACGGCUCACCUAGGCGACGAUCCCUAGCUGGUCUGAGAGGAUGACCAGCCACACUGGAACUGAGACACGGUCCAG
RNAcentral lists this ribosomal RNA (220 nucleotides) under uncultured bacterium. RNAcentral describes it as "partial 16S ribosomal RNA". It matches the Rfam family "Bacterial small subunit ribosomal RNA", at positions 111 to 334 of the family's 1533-position model. The record is from RNAcentral.